Molecule: ribosomal RNA, 467 nt
Filed under: uncultured bacterium
Lineage: Bacteria
Description: partial 16S ribosomal RNA
Rfam family: Bacterial small subunit ribosomal RNA
Source: RNAcentral
GAUGAACGCUGGCGGCGUGCUUAACACAUGCAAGUCGAACGGAAAGGCCCAAGCUUGCUUGGGUACUCGAGUGGCGAACGGGUGAGUAACACGUGGGUGAUCUGCCCUGCACUUCGGGAUAAGCCUGGGAAACUGGGUCUAAUACCGGAUAGGACCACAUUUUGGAUGGUGUGGUGGAAAGUUUUUCGGUGUGGGAUGAGCUCGCGGCCUAUCAGCUUGUUGGUGGGGUAAUGGCCUACCAAGGCGUCGACGGGUAGCCGGCCUGAGAGGGGGUACGGCCACAUUGGGACUGAGAUACGGCCCAGACUCCUACGGGAGGCAGCAGUGGGGAAUAUUGCACAAUGGGCGCAAGCCUGAUGCAGCGACGCCGCGUGGGGGAUGACGGCCUUCGGGUUGUAAACUCCUUUCGCUAGGGACGAAGCGUUUUUGUGACGGUACCUGGAGAAGAAGCACCGGCUAACUACGUG